This is a long non-coding RNA of Heterocephalus glaber (naked mole-rat), 1089 nucleotides long. Lineage: Eukaryota; Metazoa; Chordata; Mammalia; Rodentia; Bathyergidae. The record is from Ensembl.
GGCAUCAGAGCAGGUCAUUUUGUUAGCAGAUGGAAGGCAAGCGACUCAGCCAUUGAACCCCCACCCCCGCUUUGAGUACCCAGACGCCUGGACCUAGGACAUCAUCCUCAGUAAAGGAAAUUGAGGCUUUGUGGAGUUAAGUGACUUGCCCGCAAAAGCUAGAUCUGUUUACUGGUAUGGCGACCCCUGGAUGGGAAUCUACCUGUGGUCCACCAUCAGCAGACCACAGAUGGCAUUGUUUGCAAUGAAGAGAAAUGUAGAUAAGAGGAAAGAUGCAGUGACUUACUUGGAUUUUCUAUAUAAAUCAUCACAGCACCUGAAAGCACAGGGCUGUAUCUGGGGAGGCCCAAGAAAGCCAGAGAAAAGAGGCCAGGCUCUCCAGGACUGGUGAGAUGCUCCACCAUCAGAGGCUCUGCCCAUUGGGCUCCUGGCUAGACCAAGAGGACAACACAUGAGACAGAUAAAGUUCUGAUUCUGACCAGGAUUCUUCGGUGUUGAGAUGGAACUUUGGAUCUGCAGCAACUCAACCCUAAACAUCUUGCUACCAGCUUGAGGGCAAGGCCAGGACCAAAGAUAGUAGACCAGAAAGAUGGAGAACACUCAUAUCUCUGAUGUCAUUUGCUGGAUGAAUUGUAACUAAAACCUAUUUUAUUUUGGCUUGAGUUAGGAUUCCUAUCACUUGCAGCCAAAUGCACCAUAAUUUAGUAUGGCUCUCUGAGGACAAGACAACCUGGAACUCAAAGCACCUGAAUAGAAAAACCUUAGCUCAAUCAAUGAGGCAUAGUGUACUUUAGUUGAGUUUUCAAUGAAUGUUUUAUUGGCAGGAACUAGAAAAUAGUCAGGAUUCUACAUUGUAUAAAUUAUAACCAUUGCUUAUAAUCAGGCUUAGCCAAUUGAUUUCAAGGAGAUACUAUCCUCUUGUCUAAAUGGGGCUGGACAUUUUCCACUAAUCCAGAGGAAGGAUGGUUAUUGUAACCACAAAGGAAACUAACAACAUUAAGUGAUACAUGAAAGUAAAUCACAUUGGCUUAGAAUAAUUUGCCUUUUCCAAUUCUUAAAGAAAAGGAGAGAAACUAAUCUUUAUUGAGU